UUUUUUUUUUUUGGCUUCUUUUUUUUUUUUUUUUUUUUUUUUUUUUUUGCGUCUUAGAGCCAGGCAUAUGGAAGUUCCCGGGCUAGGAGUGGAACAGCAGCUAUAGCUGCCAGGCUCCACAGCCAUGCAGAAUCCGAGCCGCAUCUGUGAUUUACACUGCAGCUCACAGAAAUGAUGAUCCCCGACCCACUGAGUGAGGCCAGGGAUGCAACACCCAUCUUCAUGGAUACUAGUUGGAUUUGUUUCUGCUGAGCCCCAAUGGGAACUCCUGUAUUAACAUUUUUGAUGGAUUUUUGUACAGAUGUUUCUAAUCCUCCCAACGACUCUAGGACGUAUUAUUAUCCCCAUUUUACUGAUGAGGAGACUGAGGCAUGGAGAAAUUAAAUGCUCUACCAAGAAGACACUGCUGGGGCAUGGAAACCAGAGUUCAGACCUAGGCAGUGUGGCUCCAGGCCCACGACCUCAGCCCUACAAUCUGUGCCUCUAAGGGCUCCUGAAAGAACCACACCACAGGAUCCCUUCUUACUUAUUACUAUCCAAAGACCACAAAAACCAAGUUCUCGGAAAGCUACGUGGAGGCCAGCGCUGUCCAACAGAAUUUUCUGCGAUGAUCAGAAUGUUCCAUCUCUGCACUGCUGAAUAGUUGAAAUGUGGCCAGUGUAACUGAGGAAUAGAAUCUUUCCUUUCAUUUCACCUUAAUGAACUUACAUUUAAAUUGUCAAGAGUGGGAGUUCCCACUGUGGCUCAGCGGAAACGAAUCCGACUGGUAUCCUUGAGGAUGCAGGUUCGAUCCCUGGCCUUGCUCAGUGAGUUGGGGAUUCGGUGUUGCUGUGGGCUACGGUGUAGGUCGCAGAUGUGGCUUGGAUCCCAUGGUGGUGUGGCUGUGGUGUAGGCCGGCAGCUUAGCUCUGAUUGGACCCCUAGCCUGGGAACUUCCAUACGCUGAGGGUGCAACCCUAAAAAGCAAAACAUCAGUCAAUGGAUCAAUCAACAAAAAUAAAUAAAUUGUCAAGUGUGGGAGUUCCUGUUAUGGCUCAGCAGGUUAAGAACCCAACUAGUAGGGAGUUCCCGUCGUGGUACAGUGGUUAAUGAAUCCAACUAGGAACCACAGGGUUCAGGGCUCGAUUCCUGGCCUCACUCAAUGGUGGCCAGGAGUUCCCGUUGUGGCUCAGUGGUUAACGAAUCCGACUAGGAACCAUGAGGUUGUGGGUUCAAUCUCUGGCCUUGCUCAAUGGGUUAAGGAUCCGGCAUUGCCGUGAGCUGUGGUGUAGGUUGCAGACACAGCUCGGAUCCCACGUUGCUGUGGCUCUGGUGUAGACCAGCGGCUGCAGCUCUGAUUCAACCCCUGGCCUGGGAACCUCCAUAUGCCGUGGGUGCAGCGCUAAAAAGAAAAACAAACCAAAAUAAAUAAAUAAAUAGCCAAGUGUGGCUUGCUGCUGCCUAUCGGCUGGCACAGGUGAGACCUAAGUUUGGUGAGUCCAAAACUGUGACAUUUCAAACAUUACCCAUAAUGGAUAAUUCCUACCCAAAACGAUGGCUUCAGAAGGAUGUCACUCAAGCUGAUGCAUCUUCUCACAGCAUCCUCUCCAACCCUGUGCAGGUUUUAGUUCAUUUCUCAUAAUUCCAAGGCAGAAAGCAAGCCAGUGGUCAGAGACGCUGACAAGGACUUCCACAUGGAGUGGGAGCGUAUUAGCUGGCCGGGCAAUGCCUUAAGAACACUGCUGUGGGGUGUGGGGUUGGGGCAUUUUCAGACUCUAGGGUCACCCUACUGAGCUGAAAAAACAGGCCAAAGGUGAGCUUAUCACUGAAUGUGAACGUAUGCUCAAGCCCAGGGCCCCAGCCCACCCCGACACUGAUGUGAUGAGCAGACACUGGCCAUCCUGCCUGAGACAGUGACUUCUUGCUCUUCCAGGUCUCCGGUCAGCCUUGGGGUCAGGGCCUCUGACUGGACAAACCAAGCCCAUCCCAGGCGAUUCCUAACACAUGCGUCUCCCUCUCCUCCACCACUGGUUCCACGAAGCUCAAACCCAAAUUCAGGCUAGAUUUCAACUCAAAUGAUAAAUGAAACCAAGAUCAGAAGUUGCGAGCACUACUCUAGCAGAGGACAAUUUUAUUCUCAUUAAUCCCAAAUCUAUGUGGCUGGUGGGGAAGAAGGUGCCUCCUUUCUGUUACCCACAUUUCCCAGACCCAAGCUGCACAAGCAUGGUGGGAGGGCAGGACUGAGCCACUGGACGAUGACCCCCCACCCCCAGAAAGGCAGGGGGCCCAGACUGGAGAAGGAACCACCCAGCUACUUAGGGGCAGAGUCCCCGGCCCAGUCCUCACGCUCCACCAUACAGCUCCCCACCCAGGCCCUGCCUUAAGGGCUCUGGAGAGAAGCACUUGUUCACACUCACACCAAACCAGAGACUGCAAUUAAACAAACAACGAACAAAAAACCCCCACCAAUUCUCCCCCCAUUCCUUUCCACCUCCACCUCCCUCUUCCAAACAGCAGGCACAAAAUCCAAAAUCCAUAAUCCAUACAAACAAGUUAUUCCUUGCCCAUGGAGGUCAAAAGUUGACCCAGCACAAAAUCAGAUGGCAAACCAGACUCUAAACUCCUGAAGUGUUGGGUCUGAAAAGCCCAAUCUCGCCCCAAGUUCCCAGGGACCCUUCUCGGCAGGAAACCAGGCAUUGUGAAGGGGCCUUGGACAUCCCGCAAGGCUCCAGGGAUUAUGGAGCGAAAGCCUGCCCAUCCCCCCCCCCCAGGUCAGGAGCCCCCGGACUGCCCUUAACCUUCAGGAAAGGAGCUGAUAAUCCACCCCGGCACCUCUCACCCCAAUGCGACGUCCUCACUGACUCUCAAGGCCAUCUUUCCAGAUGCCUGCAUGCAGCGGUCCACAGGCCAGACCGGAAAUACUUGCUAACUGACCAGCGAGGUCCUGGGCUUUCCUCAAGGCAAGGGGAUGGAGGUCGGUAGAAGGGCACGUGGGUAGAUAUUACAACCCCACCCUUGGUCCUCAGGCAGGCACAUCUCCUCCUGCCCCAGAGCCACAAAAGUCUUCAUUGUGGUGGCAAACAUGAAAAAGUCUCUCUUGAAAAUUCUCCGUGAAAACAGAGAGUAGCUACACUUUUAUGAUAAAGAUGAAGGAAUAAAUGGAUUAAACGAAUGCUAUUCUGCCCUUACCUAACUCAGGAGCUUCAUUAAGAAGCCCUUGGCAGAAGCAGGACAACUGAGGCUCCAUGGAUGAUGUCCUUCUCACCCCAGGUGCAACUCUCAAAAGGCACAUCCCAGAUUACCCCAGGGGUUUGAUGCUGAAAUCUUGAAACCGUAUGAAACUUCUCCAAACCUCAACCAAGGUUCCAGUCAAUGAAAGCCUCCUAGUACCAGAAAUUACACCUGCACUCACACAGGCCCACUGCCUUUGGUGGGUUCAUGCAUCCGCAAAGCUGUGACACACAAGAUGCCCAGGAGUGACCUCCACACCUGUCCUCUGACUGUUGACCACCACACUCAGGGAGUUAGAUCUCUAUUCCAUAAACCCCUCCUUUCACCAACAGCAACGGCCUUGAGCCUGAGGCCCAACCAUCUGAAAGUUGCACCUGCUACUUGCGUCAGCUUCGAGAACUUACUUCUAUCCACAAAUAGUUUAUCGGCUUUAAGCCACCUCAUUGAGACUUCCUUGGAGACAGGGACCCCAUCUUAUUCAUAUGUAUUCCCAGAGCUCAAUACAGGUGCCCAGAUGCUCAGUCAACAAAGAGCUGCCAAAUAAGUGAACGCAGCACACCUGGGAAGCAUCUACCCAUUUCGAGGCUUCUGCACACACAGUGGCAGUCAAAGGUAGCAUGUGGAAUGCCAGUGGGCAGACGUGUAAAAAAUGCACUAGACUUGAGUAAGAGGAUGAGGGUUCAAGCUCCAAGUUGGCCUAAAAUCCACUUGACUGUGCUGGGCAAAUCACCCAGUCUCUGGGGUCUUAUUUUUUUCUUCUAUAAACAGUAGAAGAUGUUUAGGUUUCCCUUUAGCCCUUAAACUUGUAAAAUACGAAGAAAAGACAUGCCCUUGAGCUAUGGCCACAGUAUUAACUUGAUGAUAAGGACAAUGAAAAUACAGCAGCCAGAGGCAGCUAUUUUCACUCAGAUGUGGGCUGAGGAGAGGCAGCAACUUUAAAAGGAGGUAAAGCCUCCAUUCACUCGCCCCCCAGUCACCUGGGACGCACAGCUUUAGGUCACCCUCCAGAGGCUCCUUCAGGGAGAUGCAAACUUCACUGUUGCAGGCAGAAAAGCCUCCAAGUGGAGCAAUGACCCACAGGCAUCACUUCCACAUAAUAAACAGAUUCAACUCAGACAAAGGAAAAUAAAGUGGCCUGUGGCUACAUUCCCCAUUCGCAGAAGCAUCAGGCUGAGCUUUAAAUGUGAGCCAGGCGUGGCUGACUUCUUAUUUUGGCUCCGACUCUAACUCGGAGCGGAUGGUCCUCGGCCAAGCCUCUCCUCUAGAAGCCAGGCUCUGGAUGGGCAAGACAACCCCCAUAAACCAUCCAGAUUACAGGGUGAGGCUAGUAAAGCAUUUCACAGAUAGGAAGAGCUGCCAGCCUCUCGAGACAGACAGGAGAGAAGCCGUCACAAGGCAACGUGGCUCGGGCGGAGGGCCACAGAGCAGCGCCGUGCCUAACCCUGUGCACUCCCCAAUCCCCACCGGAGGCCUCCCAGCACCCCCACCCCCAUGACAGGGCUCCUCCAGGAGACCUGCCUGCAAAGCUCUUUAAGCCACACAGCUGGUUAACCAGCUGUGACUAGGUGAGGCUGGUUUCCCUCUACCCAGGACACUUGAGAUGCGGAGGUAGGUCAAGGCAAAGCCACAGAUUGGACGAGACAAAGGUCUGCUCAUGAAACGAGAAGCGCUGUCUUAGGAGCCAUGGCAGUGGUUUUACUGUUUUCUUUUCCCUUUUUUUUUUUUUUGCCCCCUUUUCUUUAACGAUUAGGUACCAGUGGACACCAGAUACACAGCACUGGAUAACAAGGUUUAGAGAUCGUAUCAGUAAAGGUUCCCACCAAAGCCUACUAAUAGCGCUCUGGCUGAUUAGAAAUCACUUCUGCAGUUCGGGAACUCUAACCCGCUCUUAUCAACCCUCCAGCUUAGGCAUCUAUCAGGGUGGGAACGGGAGGGACAUCAGCUCUGCCACAGAGUGAUUUCUGGGGCCCCUGUCCACGACUGAGCAGAUCAAAAAGGAGCUCAUGCCUGCCCGAGGGAAGUUUUCUCCAUAGCAACACAUGCUACUCUGCAAACAGGCGGGACUAAGGCACUCUGCUGUGACCAGGCCAGAUAGUGCCCCCCACUCGCAAAACAGCAACCGAGGGUGCAGCCGCACGCAGAUGGAGCAAGAGAAAAGUGGCAUCAACUUAGCUGGCGGGGCGGCGUCCUCCAGCAGGUAACAGUGGCAGCUCUGAGACCUGCCAGCACCCCUGCCCUCGUUCAAAGACAGACAGCAGAGGGACAACACGUGUUCUCUGUGGAGCAGGGAAAGAGGCUCCCAGAGUAGAGCAGAGCGAUCACCCCUUUUGGAGCAGAUGGCUGGCACUGGAAAAACUUGGGGAAAGGUUUCCAGUGGCAAACCAGGUCGUAUUGAAAAUGAAAUCUGAGCCGGUCUGAUGGCGGAAGCUGUGUGCGCACACACCCAACUGGGACCCCAAUAAGGGUGGCCACCAGCUUGGCGUCUGAGACCAUCAAUUAAGUGCCUGUGGGCCCGACCCGGUUUGGGACUUUUGUGUAUUCAACCUGCAGGGAGGGUUAAAAACUCACCCCCUGAAAACUGCCACCUUUCUGAAUGUCACAUUUUUGCCAAGGGAAGCAACAGGGAUCACUGAGGUGCCCUUACAUCCCAUGGGACAGGAUUCGGCCUGAGGCUGCACCGGGAGGAACACGAGCCCCAGACCUCUGCUCUAUUGCUCAGAUCCCUGAAAGGCGGGUAGAAGUCCAGCCACAGAACAAGGGCACCCAAGAGAGUAAGUGGCCCUUCUCGGCUUCCCCUGACUCAUUUCUCUAGAACGUGGGCCAUGUUAGAGGCUAGAGAGGAAGAUGCAGACAGUCAGCAACUAAAAAAGCUGGUAGAGGAAUGCUGUCAAAAGCACAUUAGGAGUUAGUCAAAGAGAGAGGACAUAUGUCCACGGACAUACCCUUGUGCUCUGUGUUAACACAAUGUAAGCAAAACUGUCUUACAGCACCGAUGCUACUACGCAUGGGGACCAGCAGCCUCACCUCAGGUUGUGAUGCCCAUGGGCACAUCCAGGAGGAUGUCCUGCUGGGCUGUGACACAACAGGCUCCUCCUGUAUAUGCUGCAAACACAUCAUCCUGACAAGUACACCAUGGUGUCAGCCAACAGGGAAGAAGGUAGUUCCCAGACAGAAGGUGGCCAUGCCACAUUGGCCUCCCAAAUGACGAAAAAGCAAAAACUAGCUACUACCCCCAAAGUUCUCUGGGUCCUAAAUUCUUAAAGUCAUCAUAGACCCAACAGGAACCCAACCUCCAAAUGACAGGCCUAGCACUUCAGAAUCAUUUCUGUGCUACAGAGCCAGCGGUGCCUGCAA
This 6563-nucleotide long non-coding RNA is filed under the name Sus scrofa (pig). Its description in RNAcentral is "lncRNA (ENSSSCG00065033659.1)". The record is from RNAcentral. Lineage: Eukaryota; Metazoa; Chordata; Mammalia; Artiodactyla; Suidae.